CCAAUACAAGAAAAUAUAUGGCUUACGGGUGGGGAUCUCCACCAUUUACAAGUAUUUAAACAGGAGGGGGUGGUGGUGACCCCCAGGGACUUUACCUACAUUUCAUUUGAUUUGUUUUAUUGUCCCAUACAAGAAUACAUGUGGUUUAGGGGUGGGGAUGUUGACCGUUUACAAGUUUUCAAACAAGAGGGGGUGGGGUGACUCCCUCGGGACUUCCCUUUUAUUUCAUUUCAUUUGUUUUAUUGUCCUCUACAAGAAUAUAUAUGGUUUAGGGUGGGGAUCUGGACCAUUUACAAGAUAAUAGCACAUUCUCAAAUUGAACAGGGUGGGGGAGGGGGGGUGCAACCCCCAGGAACUUCCCUUUAAUUUCAUUUGAUUAGUUUUAUUGUCCCAUACAAGAAUAGAUAUGGUUUAGGGGUGGGGAUGCUGACCAUUUACAAGUUUUCAAACAAGAGGGCGUGGGUGAGCCCCUAGGGACAUCACUUUUAUUUCAUUUCAUUUGUUUUAUUGUCCCCUACAAGAAUAUAUAUGGUUUAGGGGUGGGGAUCUGGACUGUUUACAAGAUAAUAGCACAUUCUCAAAUUGAACGUGGUGGGGAUGACCCCCCGGGGACUUCCCUUUAAUUUCAUUUAAUUUGUUUUAUCGUCCCAUUGAAGAAUAUAUAUGGUUUAGGGGUGGGAAUCUGGACCGUUUACAAGAUAAUAGUAUAUUCUCAAAUUGAACAGGGUGGGGGUGACCCCCAGGAACUUCCAUUUAAUUUCAUUUGAUUAGUUUUAUUGUCCCAUACAAGAAUAGAUAUGGUUUAGGGGUGGGGAUGUUGACCGUUUACAAGUUUUCAAACAAGACAGGGUGGGGUGAGCCCCUAGGGACAUCACUUUUAUUUCAUUUCAUUUGUUUUAUUGCCCCUCUACAAGAAUAUAUAUGGUUUAGGGGUGGGGAUCUGGACCGUUUACAAGAUAAUAGCACAUUCUCAAAUUGAACGUGGUGGGGAUGACCCCCUGGGGAUGUUGACCGUUUACAAGUUUUCAAACAAGAGGGGGUGGGGUGAGCCCCUAGGGACAUCACUUUUAUUUCAUUUCAUUUGUUUUAUUGUCCCCUACAAGAAUAUAUAUGGUUUAGGGGUGGGGAUCUGGACUGUUUACAAGAUAAUAGCACAUUCUCAAAUUGAACGGGGUGGGGAUGACCCCCGGGGACUUCCUUUUAAUUUCAUUUGAUUUGUUUUAUCGUCCCAUUCAAGAAUAUAUAUGGUUUAGGGGUGGGGAUCUGGACCGUUUACAAGAUAAAAGCAUAUUCUCAAAUUGAAGGGGGUGGGGAUGACCCCCAGGGACUCCCCCUAUAUUUCAUGUGAUUUGUUUUAUUGUCCUAUAAUCAUUUCUGAAGACUGCAUGUAUCUAUCACUUACAGUUUUUAAGUUAUAUUCAUUUGAAAAUUUUAGAAAAUAAAAUCCCAUAGGGUUCUAUAGUAAACCCCUCCCUCCUUUCUACCCCCCAAAAUACCCCUUAAUAGACCCAAAUGCACAAACGAAACAUUGAUGGCUCACCUAGACAUGUUAGUCUAACAUAUUGUAAAAUCCUAAGUAAAUCUGACAAGCCGUUUAGGAGAACCGCUGCGGACAAGUUCAUUUUUAAAGUGGCGGAAGAAGAAGAAGAAGAGGAAGAGGAAGAAUAACUAGAAUUGCCAUUGCAAGCAAUAGCGGAUGUCACCCUUCCCCCCAUUGCCACUAAGCGGCAGCCAUUUCAAAAACUUUUAACAGUGAAUGCACAUAUUUGCAUGGCUAUACAUUUUUCUGUAAAUUUUCAGUACAUUUAGAUCAUUUUUAAAAAUAUGACAUUUUUGCUGUUUCCAUGGCAACGGCAGCCAUUUUGAAAGUUUCAAAGUCAAAAGUCUCAUCUAUACAUGCCAGUUUACAAUAUUAUUAAGUUUCAUUAAGUUUGGAGCAUUUUGAAAAUAUUUGACAUUUUUGCAGUUUCCAUGGCAACGGUAGCCAUUUUGGAAAUUCCAACUUCAAAAGUUUCAUGCAGACUUGACAGUCAACAAUCAUAGUAAGUUUCAUUACUUUUUGAGCAUUUUGAAAUUUUUGAAAUUUUUGACAUUUUGGCUGGUUUCUAUGGUUACACAGACCAUUCCAAAUUUCUAAUGGCAGAUACCACAUUGGUACAUGGGAGGGAACAUACCAUCAGAGUUUCAAUGGAUUUGACCUACCCUUUUAAGAAAGUAAAUGCCACUUUUAGGUGUUUUUGGACCAUUUUGACCAUUUUUGCAUUGUUUCCAUGGAAACGGCAGACAUUUUGGAAAUUCCAACGCCAAAUUCCACAUGUACCAAUGUUGCUCAUCGUUACUGUGAAGUUUCAUUAAAUUUGGAGCAUUUCCAUAUUUUGGAAAUUUUUGGUGUAGUAUCCAUGGCAACAUAGCAGUUCCAAUGAUUGCCAAAAUCAUCCCAAAACCAGUGUAUAGUGGGCACCUACAUUGUAUCAAAAUCUAAAGAUUUUAAGCAUAACCAUUCUCAAAUAAUUGGCCGAACUCUAAAAUAUAUUUUUUCACCAUUUUCCUGUUUCCAUGGUGAUGGCAGCCAUUUUUUAGUUCCAAAGUUGCACUGCAACUGGAAAGUCAGGGUUCCUUGUUAUAGUGCACCAUCAUUCAGAUUGGUUCCUUUGGCUCCAAAAAAACUGCCGGACAAAAUUAGGUGGAAGAAAAAUCAUAAUAAUAAUAACUAGAUUUGCCAUUGCAAGCAAUAGCGGAUGGCACCCUUUCCCCAUUGCCAGGCCAGCGGCAGCCAUUUCAAAAAUUUUGUUGCUGUUUCCAUGGCAACGGCGGCCAUUUUGAAAAUUCGAAACUCAAAAAUUAAGUCUACAUAAGCUAGGCAACAUUUGUUAUAAGUUUCAUUAAAUUUAAAGCAUUUUGGAAGUUUUUCAUAAUUUUGCUGUUUCCAUGGUAACGGCGGCCAUUUUGAAUAUUCCAAAGUCAAACCCCCGCUGCAAUUUUUUGCCCUCCAUAAUCAUAUACCAUUUAAUGUCUCUAGAAUAAAUUUAACAUUGAUGUUCUGGAAUGUUCUGUGAAAAUUCAAAGUUUUGACCUUUUUGCAUUGUUUCCAUGGUAACAACAGAUAUUUUGGAAAUUCCAACGCCAAAUUCCACAUCUUCCAAUGUUGCUCAUCGUUACUGUGAAGUUUCAUGAAGUUUGGAGCAUUUUGAUAUUUUUGAAAUUUUUGGUGUAGUUUCCAUGGCAACAUAGUAGUUCCAAUGAGUGCCAAAAUCAUCCAACACCUGUAUAUAGUGGCCGGCACCUACAUUGUAUCAAAAUAUAAUGUUUCUGAGUUUAAGCAUAUCAAAACAGUUCACCAAAACAAAAAACAGGAUUUUUUCACAUUUGUUUCGUUUCCAUGGCAACGGCAGCCAUCUUGAUGGUGCCAUACCCCACUGCACUAUAGAAUGUGGUGGUCUACAUUAUGGUAUAGUUCCAUCAAUAUUGUUCAAGCCAAUUCCGAGAAAUAGAAUGGACAAAAAAGUGUGGAAGAAUAAAAAUAAUAAUAAUAAUAAUAACUAGAUUUGUAAUUGCUAGCAAUAACGGAUGGCACCCUUCCCCCAUUGCCAGGUGAGCGGCAGCCAUUUUGAAAAUUCCAAAGUCAAAUAGUGCAUCUACAGAUGUCUAGUAACAUUUUUGCAAAGUUUCAUUAAGUUUGAAGCAUUUUGAAAUUUUGGAUAUUUUUGCUGUUUCCAUGGUAACGGCGGCCAUUUUGAAUAUUCCAAAGUCAAACCCCUGCUGCAAUUUUUUCCCUCCAUAAUCAUAUACCAUUUAAUGUCUCUAGAAUAAAUUUAACAUUGAUGUUCUGGAAUGUUCUGUGAAAAUUCAAAGUUUUGACCUUUUUGCAUUGUUUCCAAGGUAACAACAGAUAUUUUGGAAAUUCCAACGCCAAAUUCCACAUCUUCCAAUGUUGCUCAUCGUUACUGUGAAGUUUCCUGAAGUUUGGAGCAUUUUGAGAAUUUUGAAAUUUUUGGUGUAGUUUCCAUGGCAACAUAGUAGUUCCAAUGAUCACCAAAAUCAUCCAACACCUGUAUAUAGUGGGCACCUACAUUGUAUUAAAAUAUAAUGAUUCUGAGAUAAAGCAUAUCCAAACAGUUCACCAAAACAAAAAACUGGAUUUUUUCACAUUUGUUCUGUUUCCAUGGAAACGGUAGCCAUCUUGAACCAUUCCAUGCUUCCUGCAACUCUGCAACUGGGGGUCCUUACUAUAGUAGAGUUCCAUCAACAUUGGUCCAUUGGAUUUCGAGAAAUCACCUGGACAAAAUUUGUUGCAAGAAAAAAAAUAAUAAUAAUAAUAAGAAAAAAAAGAAACGUAGAAUAACAAUAUGUCACCCCAACUCCGUUGAGGGUGCCAUAACUAGAUUUGUAAUUGCUAGCAAUAACGGAUGGCACCCUUCCCCCCAUUGCCAGGUGAGCGGCAGCCAUUUUGAAAAUUCCAAAGUCAAAUAGUGCAUCUACAGAUGUCUAGUAACAUUUUUGCAAAGUUUCAUUAAGUUUGAAGCAUUUUGAAAUUUUGGAUAAUUUUGCUGUUUCCAUGGUAACGGCGGCCAUUUUGAAUAUUCCAAAGUCAAACCCCCGCUGCAAUUUUUUGCCCUCCAUAAUCAUAUACCAUUUAAUGUCUCUAGAAUAAAUUUAACAUUGAUGUUCUGGAAUGUUCUGUGAAAAUUCAAAGUUUUGACCUUUUUGCAUUGUUUCCAAGGUAACAACAGAUAUUUUGGAAAUUCCAACGCCAAAUUCCACAUCUUCCAAUGUUGCUCAUCGUUACUGUGAAGUUUCCUGAAGUUUGGAGCAUUUUGAGAAUUUUGAAAUUUUUGGUGUAGUUUCCAUGGCAACAUAGUAGUUCCAAUGAGUCACCAAAAUCAUCCAACACCUGUAUAUAUAGUGGGCACCUACAUUGUAUUAAAAUAUAAUGAUUCUGAGAUAAAGCAUAUCCAAACAGUUCACCAAAACAAAAAACUGGAUUUUUUCACAUUUGUUCUGUUUCCAUGGAAACGGCAGCCAUCUUGAACCAUUCCAUGCUUCCUGCAACUCUUCACCUGGGGUCCUUCAUUAUAGUAGAGUUCCAUCAACAUUGGUCCAUUGGAUUUCGAGAAAUCACCUGGACAAAAUGUGUGGAAGAAAAAUAAGAAAAACUAGAUUUGUAAUUGCUAGCAAUAACGGAUGGCACCCUUCCCCCAUUGCCAGGUGAGCGGCAGCCAUUUGAAAAUUCCAAAUAGUCAAAGUCAAAUAGUGCAUCUACAGAUGUCUAGUAACAUUUUUGCAAAGUUUCAUUAAGUUUGAAGCAUAUUUUUGCUGUUUCCAUGGUAAUGGCGGCCAUUUUGAAAAAUUCCAAACUCAAAAGUCAAGUCUACAUAAGCUAGGCAACAUUUGUUAUAAGUUUCAUUAAAUUUAAAGCAUUUUGAAGUUUUUCAAAUUUUUGCUGUUUCCAUGGUAACGGCGGCCAUUUUGAAUAUUCCAAAGUCAAACCCCCGCUGCAAUUUUUUGCCCUCCAUAAUCAUAUACCAUUUAAUGUCUCUAGAAUAAAUUUAACAUUGAUGUUCUGGAAUGUUCUGUGAAAAUUCAAAGUUUUGACCUUUUUGCAUUGUUUCCAUGGUAACAACAGAUAUUUUGGAAAUUCCAACGCCAAAUUCCACAUCUUCCAAUGUUGCUCAUCGUUACUGUGAAGUUUCAUGAAGUUUGGAGCAUUUUGAUAUUUUUGAAAUUUUUGGUGUAGUUUCCAUGGCAACAUAGUAGUUCCAAUGAGUGCCAAAAUCAUCCAACACCUGUAUAUAGUGGGCACCUACAUUGUAUUCAAAAUAUAAUGAUUCUGAGUUAAAGCAUAUCCAAACAGUUCACCAAAACAAAAAACUGGAUUUUUUCACAUUUGUUUCGUUUCCAUGGUAACGGCAGCCAUCUUGAACCAUUCCAUGCUUCCUGCAACUCUGCACAUGUGGGUCCUUAUUAUAGUAAAGUUCCAUCAACUUUGGUGUUUUGGAUUUCGAGAAAUCGCCUGGACAAAAUGUGUUGCAAGAAAAAUAAUAAUAAGAAAAAAAAGAAACGUAGAAUAACAAUACGUCACCCCAACUCCGUUGAGGGUGCCAUAACUAGAUUUGCGAUUGCAAGCAAUAGCGGAUGGCACCCUUCCCCUAUUGCCAGGUGAGCGGUAGCCAUGGUAAUGGCGGCCAUUUUGGAAAUUCCAAACUCAAAAGUCAAGUCUACAUUAGCUGAGCAACAUUUGUUAUAAGUUUCAAUAAAUUUGAAGCAUUUUGAAGUUUUUUGUAUUUUUGCUGUUUCCAUGGUAACGGCGGCCAUUUUGAAUAUUCCAAAGUCAAACCCCCGCUGCAAUUUUUUCCCUCCAUAAUCAUAUACCAUUUAAUGUCUCUAGAAAUAAAUUUAAACAUUGAUGUUCUGGAAUGUUCUGUGAAAAUUCAAAGUUUUGACCUUUUUGCAUUGUUUCCAUGGUAACAACAGAUAUUUUGGAAAUUCCAACGCCAAAUUCCACAUCUUCCAAUGUUGCUCAUCGUUACUGUGAAGUUUCAUGAAGUUUGGAGCAUUUUUGAGAUUUUUGAAAUUUUUUGGUGUAGUUUCCAUGGCAACAUAGUAGUUCCAAUGAGUGCCAAAAUCAUCCAACACCUGUAUAUAGUGGGCACCUACAUUGUAUUAAAAUAUAAUGAUUCUGAGUUAAAGCAUUACCAAACAGUUCACCAAAACAAAAAACUGGAUUUUUUCACAUUUGUUUCGUUUCCAUGGCAACGGCAGCCAUCUUGAUGAUGCCAUACCCCGUUUGCACAAUUUCAUAUGUGGUGGUCUACAUUAUGGCAUAGUUUCCAUCAAUAUUGUUCAAGCCAAUUCCGAGAAAUAGCAUGGACAAAAAAGUGUGGAAGAAUAAAUAAUAACUAGAUUUGCCAUUGCAAGCAAUAGCGGAUGUCACCCUUCCCCCCAUUGCCACUAAGCGGCAGCCAUUUCAAAAUCUUUUAACAGUGAAUGCACAUAUUUGCAUGGCAAUACAUCUUUCUGUAAAUUUUCAGUACAUUCAGAGCAUUUUAGAAAAUUUCACAUUUUUGCUGUUUCCAUGGCAACGGCAGCCAUUUUGAAAUUUCAAAGUCAAAAGUCUCAUCUAUACUUGCCAGUUAACAAUAAUAUUCAAGUUUCAUUAAAGUUUCAAAGCAUUUUGAAAAUAUUUGACAUUUUUGCAGUUUCCAUGGCAACGGUGGCCAUUUUGGAAAUUCCAACUUCAAAAGUCUCAUCCAGACUUGACAGUCUACAAACAUAUUAAGUUUCAUCAAUUUUGGAGCAUUUUGAAAUUUUUGAAAAUUUUGACAUUUGUGAUGGUUCCUAUGGCAACAGAGACCAUUCCCAAAAUUUAAUGGCAUAUACCACAUUGGUACAUGGGAGGGACCAUACCAUCAAAGUUUCGUUAAAUUUGACCUACCAUUUUAAGAAAGUAAAUGCCACUUUAAGGUUUUUUGGACCAUUUUGACCUGUUUUGCAUUGUUUCCAUGGUAACGGCAGACAUUUUCAAAAUUCCAACGCCAAAUUCCACAUCUACCAAUGUUGCUCAUCGUUACUGUGAAGUUUUAUAAAAUUUGGAGCAUUUCCAUAUUUUGGAAAUUUUUGGUGUAGUAUCCAUGGCAACAUAGCAGUUCCAAUGAUUGCCAAAAUCAUCCCAAACCAGUAUAUAGUGGGCACCUACAUUGUAUUAAAAUAUAAUGAUUCUAAGUUAAGCAUUCUCAAAUAAUUCACCAAAACCCAAAAAUUUUUUCACCAUUUUUCCGUUUCCAUGGUGAUGGCAGCCAUUUUUUAGUUCCAAAGUUGCACUGCAACUGGAAAGUCAGGGUUCCUUGUUAUAGUGCACCAUCAUUCAGAUUGGUUCCUUUGGCUCUGAGAAAACUGGCGGACAAAAUUAGGUGGAAGAAAAAUAAUAAUAACUAGAAUUGCCAUUGCAAGCAAUAGCGGAUG
RNAcentral lists this long non-coding RNA (7959 nucleotides) under Mytilus galloprovincialis (Mediterranean mussel). The record is from RNAcentral. Lineage: Eukaryota; Metazoa; Mollusca; Bivalvia; Mytilida; Mytilidae.